UUUGUAAGUUUCUAAGGGCACAUGGUGGAUGCCUUGGCAUCGGGAGCCGAAGAAGGACGUGGGAAUCUGCGAUAAGCCUGGUCGAGUCGAUAACCGGACGUUGACGCCAGGAUCUCCGAAUGGGGAAACCCAGCACGCGUUAUGGCGUGUUACCCGUCACUGAAUUCAUAGGUGGCGUGGAGGGAACGCGGGGAAGUGAAACAUCUCAGUACCCGCAGGAAGAGAAAACAACAGUGAUUCCGUGAGUAGUGGCGAGCGAAAGCGGAUGGGGCUAAACCCGUAUCGUGUGAUACCCGGCAGGGGUUGCGGUGCGGGGGUUGUGGGGUCGCCCGUCUAGGAACUGCCGUUUCUAGGGGAUGAGGUGCAGACGUAUAGACGAAGCGGUUUGAAAGCCGUACCGGAGAGGGUGUUAGUCCCGUAGUCGACAUGCGUGCUGCCGUCCUGUGGCGUGUCCCCAAGUAGCACGGGGCUCGAGGAAUCCCGUGUGAAUCUGCCAGGACCACCUGGUAAGCCUAAAUACUACCCGAUGACCGAUAGCGGACAAGUACCGUGAGGGAAAGGUGAAAAGUACCCCGGGAGGGGAGUGAAAUAGUACCUGAAACCAUGUGCUUACAAACCGUCGGAGCCUUGAGGGGUGACGGCGUGCCUUUUGAAGAAUGAGCCUGCGAGUUAGUGCUGUGUCGCAAGGUUAACCCGUGUGGGGAAGCCGUAGCGAAAGCGAGUCUGAAUAGGGCGUUUGAGUGGCACGGUCUAGACCCGAAGCGGAGUGAUCUACCCAUGGCCAGGUUGAAGCGCGUGUAAGAGCGCGUGGAGGACCGAACCCACUUCAGUUGAAAAUGGAGGGGAUGAGCUGUGGGUAGGGGUGAAAGGCCAAUCAAACUCCGUGAUAGCUGGUUCUCCCCGAAAUGCAUUUAGGUGCAGCGUUGCGUGUUUCUUACCGGAGGUAGAGCUACUGGAUGGCUAAUGGGCCCUACAAGGUUACUGACGUCAGCCAAACUCCGAAUGCCGGUAAGUGAGAGCGCAGCAGUGAGACUGUGGGGGAUAAGCUUCAUAGUCGAGAGGGAAACAGCCCAGAACACCGACUAAGGUCCCUAAGCGUGUGCUAAGUGGAAAAGGAUGUGGAGUUGCUUAGACAACCAGGAGGUUGGCUUAGAAGCAGCCACCCUUGAAAGAGUGCGUAAUAGCUCACUGGUCAAGUGAUUCCGCGCCGACAAUGUAGCGGGGCUCAAGCACACCACCGAAGUCGUGUCAUUCAGUUAGAUACCCAAGCCUUCGUGGUUCAGGGGACUGGAUGGGUAGGGGAGCGUCGUGCCGGCAGUGAAGCCGCGGUGUAAACCAGUGGUGGAGCCGGCACGAGUGAGAAUGCAGGCAUGAGUAGCGAAUGACGGGUGAGAAACCCGUCCGCCGAAUGAUCAAGGGUUCCAGGGUCAAGCUAAUCUGCCCUGGGUCAGUCGGGACCUAAGGCGAGGCCGACAGGCGUAGUCGAUGGACAACGGGUUGAUAUUCCCGUACCGGCGAAGAACCGCCCAUACUGAUCUUGCGAUGCUAACCACCCCAAACACACCACCAUGCUCCUUCGGGAGUGUAUCGGUGUGGGCGGCGUGGGACCCGAGCUUGGGAGGUAAGCGUAUUAACAGGUGUGACGCAGGAAGGUAGCCGGGCCAGGCAAUGGAAUUGACCUGGUCUAAGGGUGUAGGGCGUUGCGUAGGCAAAUCCGCGCAACAUACAAGCCUGAGACCUGAUGGGCGCCCACUUAAGUGGGUGAUCCGGUGAUCCUAUGCUGCCAAGAAAAGCAUCGACGCGAGGUUCUAGCCGCCCGUACCCCAAACCGACACAGGUGAUCUGGUAGAGAAUACCGAGGCGAUCGAGAGAACCAUGGUUAAGGAACUCGGCAAAAUGCCCCCGUAACUUCGGGAGAAGGGGGGCCCCAACCGUGAAACCCACUUGCUGGGUGGAGGCGGAUCGGGGCCGCAGAGACCAGGGGGAAGCGACUGUUUACUAAAAACACAGGUCCGUGCGAAGUCGCAAGACGAUGUAUACGGACUGACUCCUGCCCGGUGCUGGAAGGUUAAGAGGACCUGUUAGCUCUUUGGAGCGAAGCGGAGAAUUUAAGCCCCAGUAAACGGCGGUGGUAACUAUAACCAUCCUAAGGUAGCGAAAUUCCUUGUCGGGUAAGUUCCGACCUGCACGAAUGGAGUAACGACUUCCCUACUGUCUCAACCAUGGACUCGGCGAAAUUGCAGUACGAGUAAAGAUGCUCGUUACGCGCAGAAGGACGGAAAGACCCCGUGACCUUUACUAUAGUUUGGUAUUGGUGUUCGGUGCAGCUUGUGUAGGAUAGGUGGGAGACUUUGAAGCGGACACGCCAGUGUUCGUGGAGUCAUCGUUGAAAUACCACUCUGGCUGUAUCGGACUCCUAACCUCGGCCCGUGAUCCGGGUCAGGGACAGUGCCUGAUGGGUAGUUUAACUGGGGCGGUUGCCUCCCAAAAAGUAACGGAGGCGCCCAAAGGUUCCCUCAGCCUGGUUGGCAAUCAGGUGGCGAGUGUAAGUGCACAAGGGAGCUUGACUGCGAGAGUGACAGCUCGAGCAGGGACGAAAGUCGGGACUAGUGAUCCGGCGGCACGUUGUGGAACGGCCGUCGCUCAACGGAUAAAAGGUACCUCGGGGAUAACAGGCUGAUCUUGCCCAAGAGUCCAUAUCGACGGCAUGGUUUGGCACCUCGAUGUCGGCUCGUCGCAUCCUGGGGCUGGAGUUGGUCCCAAGGGUUGGGCUGUUCGCCCAUUAAAGCGGCACGCGAGCUGGGUUUAGAACGUCGUGAGACAGUUCGGUCCCUAUCCUCUGCGCGCGUAGGAAAUUUGAGAAGGGCUGUCCUUAGUACGAGAGGACCGGGACGGACGAACCUCUGGUGUGUCAGUUGUACUGCCAAGUGCACCGCUGAUUAGCUACGUUCGGAUGGGAUAACCGCUGAAAGCAUCUAAGCGGGAAGCUCGCUUCAAGAUAAGAUUUCCAUGAACAUUUAUGUUCGAGAGGCCCCCAGCUAGACCACUGGGUUGAUAGGCAGGAUGUGGAAGCGAGAACUAAAGACUCGUGAAGCUGACCUGUACUAAUAGGCCGACAACUUACAACACA
This is a ribosomal RNA of 3130 nucleotides. It matches the Rfam family "Bacterial large subunit ribosomal RNA".